GCUGCGCACACACACACAGCUAAAUGUCGUCUGUUUUAACGGCAUAAUUAUACAGUUUUUUGGACAUCUGUGUAGCUGAAUCCUUUGCAAUUUGUUCAAUUAAUAUUGGAGAAGUCAAAGUAGAAAGAUGGAGUUGGGAAGCUUUAGCCUUUAGCCACACAAACACAGUGAUUUCUUGCUUAAAAUUCCUGGAGGUGAAACGUUCCUAUGGAUCAGAGCGUGGUCAAGAGAACAUGGAUCCCGACCACAUGUCAACCAGCAGGUUUCGGUGAGAAAAUUGUGGUUAAAAAGUCAGUUUUUACCGGAAAAAAGCUGAGUUUGUGCCGUCGAUAGCUGCCGUCGACUCCCCUGAGACACUGUGCGUCAACACACCCUUCCGACUAUCAGGUGCAUGUCUUUGGAGGUGGGAGGAAGCCGGAGUACCUGGAGGGAACCCAUGCAAUCAUGGGGAGAACAUGCAAACUCCACACAGAAAGAUCUCAAGCCCGGGAUUGAACUCAGGACCUUCGUAUUGUGAGAUGAUGCAAUUGUUGAGGACUGAAGUGCUGAUCUGUGAUGGGGUGUCGACUUGUCCAGUCUGUACCCCGCCUUUCACCCGUUUGUAGCUGAGAUAGGCACCAGCGCCCCCCGGAACCCAAAGGGAAUAAGCGGUAGGAAAUGGAUGGAUGGAUGAAGUACUGAUAUCAACCAAACCUAACCCUCCGCCCCAACCCCCUCCGCAUCCCACCCCCUGAAUUGUAAAUAAUGUAAAUUAUUAAAUGUAUAUACUCUGAUGAUUAACUUGUGUUAUGACUGUAUUAUGCUGAUAGUAUAUAUUUGCACCAUGAAUUGAUUUACGUGGACCCCGACUUAAAUAAGUUGAAAAUUGUAUUGGAGUGUGACCAUUUUGUGGUCAAUUGUGUGGAAUAUGUACUGUA
Nerophis ophidion (straightnose pipefish) is the source of this 917-nucleotide long non-coding RNA. RefSeq lists it as uncharacterized. The record is from RefSeq and is a predicted model, not a curated record. The transcript has 3 exons. NCBI's taxonomy places the organism in Eukaryota, Metazoa, Chordata, Actinopteri, Syngnathiformes, Syngnathidae.